CAGCAAGCAAAAUUCUUGCCCUGUAGAUUGACAGGGCAAGAGGAGUGAUCGCAGAAAGCAGGAACCGUUUGGACUUGUCCAUGUGAUUCCGGGAAGGAAGCCGAAGGGGAGUGACGUGGCUGAGCACGCUCCGCUGGGAGUCCCCUGGGCACAGACACCCCGGCGCCCAAGGCUUCCAUCUCCAGCCUUCCCUGCUUCACAGCCUCCAGUCCCCAGCUCCGGUCUCGGUCUCGUGGAGGCUACUCCUCUCCAGGGACACUUGUGCCUCCCUCCCUUCUACCCGCAGCCCCUACCCGCUGCCCACCAUCACCUUUGACCUCCCAAGUAGGUUUCAGUGCUAUGCCGCCUCACUCCCAAACCUCAGGAGCACAGACAAACCGAUGGCAACACUUCGAGCAGAUGCUUUAUUGAUUUAAAGAAAGUAACUCUUCAGCCACAAAAUUAAGUUCUCACAUAUGCAAAUGUGCCUCUACACAUAAAGCAGCCUCUCACUCUAUGACAGUUUUCUGCCAAGGAACUCAAAGCACCUGGAACCCCUUCUGUCCUCACCAUACCUCACUGAAGGUGGGGGAGUUUUCUUCUGUCCAACAGGUUUGAAAGCUCAGGUUCACAGUCUCUGAGCGGCUGGCCAUCCUCAGCCAGUCCUUGCCAGUGACUCCCAGCUUCACAGCCAGAGACAGAUCACCCUGUCAACCCAGGCCAUCUCAUGGCUUAACAGCCCCUUCCUUCACAAGAAAAGAACAAAGAAUCCAGGUGGUGGGGUGAAACACUGUGCAUUUAAAUGGUAAGAUUAGUCAGUAGGUCAGCAAGUGACUAGCAAGGUAAAUCCGUUUCCCCCUCUCUCCCCCUCCCCUUCUUUUUGUAAGACUGGCUAUUGAAUUAUGUGUAGAAUGUUUCAGGUAUUACUGUCUAGUGUCUGCUUAGAAUGGAGAAGUUUUCAACUUACUCAAGUGUCUGUAUGGACUUGUGUCCAUCUGCUAACCAAGACCAUCAGGGAAUGGAGGCAGAGUUUGCAACACGUGGGUGCCUUCAGAAAGGUCCGUGUGAAACACAGAUUAUAUUGGUGUCAUGCGUGUCCUGCUAACGUAACAGAACUAGAUCACGUCCCUUUAACACAAAAUCUGGGUUUUUUUCCCCCCAAACUGUUGAUUACACAAUAAAUUUAUUAUUAUAUGUAAUGUUAUGUUGUUUUUGAAAUGCCUUUAUAUAUCUGUAUGUACAUCUCCAGCAGUAUUUCAGGGAAAUAUUAGAGGGAAAAGAAAAAAACAUUAUUUAGCCAUUUAACUUGAAAUAUUAUAAAAUAAUUCACAAUUUCCAUGCCAAAACCAACUUUGUUGACUCUUUACAGAGGAAACAGAUAGUUUGCCUUUUGGAAGCAAAUCUCGGCAAAAUGGUGAGUUGGUGGGACUUGUCUUUGGUAAUUUUGAUUUGCCAGAAUGAUAUCUCUUCUUCCUCAAGAGUAAAGACUUCUGGUGGCAUCGCAGAUACACUUCGAGUGUUCACUUAGCACAGAAGAGCAUGGCUGAAUGUUGUCGUUGGUCUCCUGUUUGUAUUAUUAAUUGCAUGCGAGUUGCGCUUUCCCAAAAUUUCAGUCCAGGACUUCCAGAGACUCCUAAAGACCCUAAUCUACCAUAAUACCUAGAGAGCUUUAGGAUUCCAUUGGUUGUUUAUUUUUUAAUACUGAAGAAUGUGACUUACGCGAGCUUUCGGAAAUUGAUUCAACUAAAACCUAAAUCUAAGAAGAUAAGGUAAAAUUACUUGGAAGAAAAAAGAGAUUUGAAGCACUUAUCCAGAUACUUUAGGAUAAAAGCAUCCUUUUGCAAAAAAUAUUUCAAAUGAGACAAAAUGAAUUUAUUGCAUGAAUCACAUGGACAGUGAUCUACAUCCUUCAAGUGACUUUUCUUAUGUAGCCAAUACGGUGUGCCACUUCAGUCCCUUCAGCAGCUCAUUUCCAAAUUUCCUUAUCUCUUGCCGCUGUCCUUUAUGUUGGCAGAAUUACAAUAGACUCAGACCCGUGUGCUUUGAGAGAAAACCUGGAGUGUUCUUGUGAACUCGCCAUUCAGUAGUUACCGAGACUCCGAAAAAGUUUGUCUGUGUUCCUCCUGACCGGUGGUUUCUGUCACCAUCGCAAACAUAAGACCUCCUGCAUCUGUUCCCAUAGCAACAGCCUCAUGGGUGACCUCUGGCAGGAGCUCUGUAGCGCCAGCGUGAGCAUCCCACGUGCCUGAGACAGUCUGGCCACCAGGAGGAGACUGGCUUUCCUCUCUCAUCCUUCUGCAGUACAAGAAGGAAGCCCCAUGCUCUGGCCCAGCUUGAGAUGCUGCAAACCCCUCAGCACAAGCUGCUGCCAGGUCUGGGGCAGGCCUGUGGCACCCAGCACCCUUCAGAAGACCAUCUGCCAGUCCUUUCCAGUUUUAGCCUCAAGAAGCUGCCCGAGCAGCAAGCUGGGGCCUGAUCCAGGCUCACAAAGAGAUUCUUCAUCCCUCCAGUCCUGGGCUGGCCCAGGCAGCAGCAAGCCAGACUCUCAGGCCCUCGUGGAAGCCAAAUAGACUCCCACCAAUGCCACAUACGGUCCUGGAGUCCCCAAAGCUGUUCUUGGACCUGGAGGUGGUCAGGGACAGAGAAGAGGACCAGCUGGGAACACCUAGAGAAGUGGAUGUUGGCGACAUGGGGACUCCAGCGUUCUGUGAUCUAACACAGCAGGGGCCCAGCCCCUCGGGUGCCACCGCUGCCCCACAUCAUAAGCCAUCGGGUGGGUUGUGCCAGGAGAGGCCUCUGGGCACACCUGCUUCAUGCCACUGCAUUCAACCGAAGCACCAAUAACACACAAACAAGCACCAGUGAAAAACCCAAAGCCUUAACAUCCUCUAGGAAACCCUGUGUCAAUUUCAUGAUUCGUAACAGACAUUGUUUUAGCAUGGAGCUUGUCCCUGGGGUGAUCCAGUUACUAAAUCAACAUCCACCGUCUCGAUCCAUGCACUCAUGCUCCUACCAAAACCAGUUCUGCAGCGCAACAGGGCAGUGUCACCGCAUCCUGACAGCUUUGUCCUGACGGGUCGCCGGGGCGUGUUUUCCUUGUUUACAUCAUUGUAUCACCAUGAAGGGGCAACAGCAGUUUUGUUCCAGCAGUGUUUUGGCCUUGGGUGGUUGCACGCUCCAUCCUAGAUUGGGCAUUCUUGCACACUGCACGUGUUUGUGGAGAGCAGUGCUCAUGGAAGGCAGUAAACCGUCCUUCCAUUCCAGAGCAUGGAUAGUUUACUUUUUUAAUCGUCACGUUUUAUCGAACCUGCUCGUGGUUCUUCCUCUCUUCCCCCCCGACCUUCUUCUCAUCUGCACUUUCCCGUCGUCUCUUUUCCACAAGAUGAAAGCACUGCUGAGAGGGGAACUCCAUCUCCUUCCAGAUAAAGGGAAGGAGCCUAAUUGUAAAUUUUAAAAAUAAUGUAAGAAACUGCUUAUGUUCUGUCAACAACCAAAAAACAGGAAGAAUUGUAUCUGUGAACUAUCAAGCUGUAUCUGUAAAUAGAUUAAAAAGCACAUUAUCUUUAAUUCAUCACUACAGACCUUGUAAUCUAUUGUAUAUUCAAAUGUUUUACUGUAUCAGAAAAAACAUGCGAUACAUUCAGAAAAGCUGGGAGAAUAAUUCAAAAUACAG
Molecule: long non-coding RNA, 3652 nt
Organism: Bos taurus (domestic cattle)
Lineage: Eukaryota; Metazoa; Chordata; Mammalia; Artiodactyla; Bovidae
Source: Ensembl